RNAcentral lists this ribosomal RNA (1081 nucleotides) under uncultured bacterium. RNAcentral describes it as "bacterial SSU rRNA". It matches the Rfam family "Bacterial small subunit ribosomal RNA", at positions 66 to 1162 of the family's 1533-position model. The record is from RNAcentral.
AUUAAAAGAUUUCUUCGGAAUGAACUUAAUUGGAUUAGUGGCGGACGGGUGAGUAACGCGUGAGUAACCUGCCUUGUACAAGGGGAUAGCCGUUGGAAACGACGAAUAAUACCCUAUGAUAUGAUAGUAUCGCAUGGAAUUAUCAUCAAAGAUUUAUCGGUAUAAGAUGGACUCGCGUCUGAUUAGCUAGUUGGUGGGGUAAAAGCCUACCAAGGCAACGAUCAGUAGCCGGCUUGAGAGAGUGUACGGCCACAUUGGGACUGAGACACGGCCCAGACUCCUACGGGAGGCAGCAGUGGGGAAUUUUGCACAAUGGGGGAAACCCUGAUGCAGCGACGCCGCGUGAUUUAGAAGGCCUUCGGGUUGUAAAAAUCUUUUGUAUGGGAAGAAAAUGACAGUACCAUACGAAUAAGGACCGGCUAAUUACGUGCCAGCAGCCGCGGUAAUACGUAAGGUCCGAGCGUUGUCCGGAAUCAUUGGGCGUAAAGGGUACGUAGGCGGAUAAGCAAGUUAGAAGUUAAAUCCUAUAGCUCAACUAUAGCAAGCUUUUAAAACUGCUCAUCUUGAGGUAUGGAAGGGAAAGUGGAAUUCCUAGUGUAGCGGUGAAAUGCGCAGAUAUUAGGAGGAAUACCGGUGGCGAAGGCGACUUUCUGGCCAUAAACUGACGCUGAGGUACGAAAGCGUGGGUAGCAAACAGGAUUAGAUACCCUGGUAGUCCACGCCGUAAACGAUGAGUGUUAGGUGUCUGGAAUAAUCUGGGUGCCGCAGCUAACGCAUUAAACACUCCGCCUGGGGAGUACGCACGCAAGUGUGAAACUCAAAGGAAUUGACGGGGACCCGCACAAGCAGCGGAGCAUGUGGUUUAAUUCGACGCAACGCGAAGAACCUUACCAAGUCUUGACAUAAUACAGAAGCUUUUAGAGAUAAGAGCCUACAUCUUCGGAUGACUGUAUUACAGGUGGUGCAUGGUUGUCGUCAGCUCGUGUCGUGAGAUGUUGGGUUAAGUCCCAUAACGAGCGCAACCCCUAUUGUUAGUUACCAUCAUUAAGUUGGGGACUCUAGCAAUACUGCCGGUGAUAAA